This is a non-coding RNA of Pelobates cultripes (western spadefoot toad), 199 nucleotides long. The record is from the annotation of a GenBank genome assembly. NCBI's taxonomy places the organism in Eukaryota, Metazoa, Chordata, Amphibia, Anura, Pelobatidae.
CACAGACACUAGGGGACACUGAGACACUGGGAGACCUGGGGACACUGAGACACAUGGGGACGCUGUGAGACAUAGGGACAUUGGGAGAUACUGAGACAUUGGGACACGGAGACACUAUGUUCCCAUGUCCCUCAGCCAGUGUCCCUAGUGUCUCAGUGUCCCCAAGUCUCCCAGUGUCUGUGUCCCAUGUCUCUCAGUG